CCUACGGGUGGCUGCAGUGGGGAAUAUUGGACAAUGGGGGGAACCCUGAUCCAGCCAUGCCGCGUGUGUGAAGAAGGCCCUCGGGUUGUAAAGCACUUUCAGUGAGGAAGAACGCCUGGUGGUUAAUACCCAUCAGGAAAGACAUCACUCACAGAAGAAGCACCGGCUAACUCCGUGCCAGCAGCCGCGGUAAUACGGAGGGUGCGAGCGUUAAUCGGAAUUACUGGGCGUAAAGCGCGCGUAGGUGGCUUGAUAAGCCAGUUGUGAAAGCCCCGGGCUCAACCUGGGAACGGCAUCCGGAACUGUCAAGCUAGAGUGCAGGAGAGGAAGGUAGAAUUCCCGGUGUAGCGGUGAAAUGCGUAGAGAUCGGGAGGAAUACCAGUGGCGAAGGCGGCCUUCUGGACUGACACUGACACUGAGGUGCGAAAGCGUGGGUAGCAAACAGUAUUAGAUACCCCAGUAGUC
Molecule: ribosomal RNA, 465 nt
Filed under: Vreelandella stevensii
Lineage: Bacteria; Pseudomonadati; Pseudomonadota; Gammaproteobacteria; Oceanospirillales; Halomonadaceae
Description: partial 16S ribosomal RNA
Rfam family: Bacterial small subunit ribosomal RNA
Source: RNAcentral